UGAAUGACAGUAACCUAAACCUGUCACUGUUACAUUGAACUGGACGAAUGUGAAUCAUCCAGUAUGCUGUAAUAUAAAUAAGGUCAUGCUCAUGAAUAAAUAACCGUCCUCCCUCAUCUUUGAACGGCACCGACCUCCACUGUCUGCCCUUUGCCUUCAACACUACGGGCGGCAACAAUGUCAUCCUCCUUCUGACCAGACAGCAGCAGAUAGAUAGAGCCAACACGUAGAGAGACAGAGGGGCGCUGUUUCGCUGACUCGGAUCUCUUCUCAUGUGGGAUACAUUCAGCCUCUUGUGAAUCGGAGGAAAAUAAUGAAACGGCAGAGACUAAAUGUAUAGUAAAAUAUAUAGAAAAAAUAUAUAGAAAAAUAUAUAGAAAAAAUAUAUAGAAAAAUAUAUAGAAAAAAUAUAUAGUAAAAUAUAUAGAAAAAAUAUAUAGAAAAAUAUAUAGAAAAAAUAUAUAGAAAAAUAUAUAGAAAGAAAAAAUAUAUAGAAAAAUAUAUAGAAAAAAUAUAUAGAAAAAUAUAUAGAAAAAAUGUAUAGUAAAAUAUAUAGAAAAAAUAUAGAAAAAUAUAUAGAAAGAUAUAUAGAAAAAAUGUAUAGUAAAAUAUAUAGAAAAAAUAUAUAGAAAAAUAUAUAGAAAAAAAUGUAUAAAAAAAAUGUAUAGUAAAAUAUAUAGAAAAAAUAUAUAGAAAAAUAUAUAGAAAAAAUAUCUACAAAAAAAAUAUAUAGAAAAAUAUAUAGAAAAAAUAUAUAGAAAAAUAUCUAGAAAAAAUAUCUAGAAAAAUAUCUAGAAAAAAUAUCUAGAAAAAAAAUAUAUAGAAAAAAUAUAUAGAAAAAAUGUAUAGAAAAAAUAUGUAGAAAAAAAAUAUAUAGAAAAAUAAAAAUAUAAAAAAUAUGUAGAAAAAAAAUAUAUAGAAAAAAUAUAUAGAAAAAAUAUAUAGAAAAAAAUAUAUAGAAAAAUAUAUUUUGGGGGGGGUCAAUUCUGGGCUUCCCUUGGCAGCCAUCAAUACAUGCCAUUGGCUGCAUUUAGAUACACCUCUAUGUUGUAAUGGGGGUACAUUUCAGAUAAACCUCUAUGUUGUAAUGGGGGUAAAUUUCAGAUAAACCCCUAUGUUGUAAUGGGGUACAUUUCAGAUUUUAAAAAACCCUAUGUUGUAAUGGGGUACAUUUCAGAUAAUAAACCCCUAUGUUGUAAUGGGGUACAUAUAAAAAAAACUAUGUUGUAAUGGGGUACAUUUCAGAUAAUAAACCCCUAUGUUGUAAUGGGGUACAUUUCAGAUACACCCCUAUGUUGUAAUGGGGUACAUUUCAGAUAAAAAACACUAUGUUGUAAUGGGGUACAUUUCAGAUAAUAAACCCCUAUGUUGUAAUGGGGUACAUUUCAGAUACACCCCUAUGUUGUAAUGGGGUACAUAUAAAAAAAAACUAUGUUGUAAUGGGGUACAUUUCAGAUAAAACCCUAUGUUGUAAUGGGGUACAUUUCAGAUAAAAACCCCUAUGUUGUAAUGGGGUACAUUUCAGAUAAACCCCUAUGUUGUAAUGGGGGUACAUUUCAGAUAAACCCCUAUGUUGUAAUGGGGGUACAUUUCAGAUAAACCUCUAUGUUGUAAUGGGGGUACAUUUCAGAUAAACCCCUAUGUUGUAAUGGGGUACAUUUCAGAUAAAAAACCCUAUGUUGUAAUGGGGUACAUUUCAGAUAAAAAAAACCUAUGUUGUAAUGGGGUACAUUUCAGAUAAAAAACCCUAUGUUAUAAUGGGGUACAUUUCAGAUAAAAAACCCUAUGUUGUAAUGGGGCACAUUUCAGAUUUAAAAAAACUAUGUUGUAAUGGGGUACGUCUCUUUCUUGUGUUAUUAUAUAAAGCGAUGGUAUGGCACAUGCAUGUGUGUGUGUAUAAACCUUAAUAUGUGCUGUGUGUGUGUGUGUGUGUGUGUGUGUGUGUGUGUGUGUGUGUGUGUGUGUGUG
Oncorhynchus tshawytscha (Chinook salmon) is the source of this 1968-nucleotide long non-coding RNA. NCBI's taxonomy places the organism in Eukaryota, Metazoa, Chordata, Actinopteri, Salmoniformes, Salmonidae. The record is from Ensembl.